AACGCACAUUGCGCCCUUCGGUAUUCCGUUGGGCAUGCCUGUUCGAGCGUCAUUUAAACCUUCAAGCUCUGCUUGGUGUUGGGCGUUUGUUCCGCCUCCGCGCGUGGACUCGCCUCAAAUCUAUUGGCAGCCGGUCAGUUGGCUUUCGCGCGCAGCACAUUGCGUAGCGGCUCCAGCUUGCCUCCUACCAUUAAGCUACUCUACAUCUUUUGACCUCGGAUCAGGUAGGGAUACCCGCUGAACUUAA
This 247-nucleotide unclassified non-coding RNA is filed under the name uncultured fungus. RNAcentral's name for it is "partial contains 5.8S ribosomal RNA, internal transcribed spacer 2, and large subunit ribosomal RNA". RNAcentral also lists the same sequence under 1 other name. The record is from RNAcentral. Lineage: Eukaryota; Fungi.